AUUUCGGUCAUCGAUGGGGAUGCGUUCCAUUAGCUUGUUGGCGGGGUAACGGCCCACCAAGGCAUCGAUGGAUAGGGGUUCUGAGAGGAAGGUCCCCCACAUUGGAACUGAGACACGGUCCAAACUCCUACGGGAGGCAGCAGUGAGGAAUAUUGGUCAAUGGGCGCUAGCCUGAACCAGCCAAGUAGCGUGAAGGAUGACUGCCCUAUGGGUUGUAAACUUCUUUUAUAUGGGAAUAAAGUGCAGUAUGUAUACUGCUUUGCAUGUACCUUAUGAAUAAGGAUCGGCUAACUCCGUGCCAGCAGCCGCGGUAAUACGGAGGAUCCGAGCGUUAUCCGGAUUUAUUGGGUUUAAAGGGAGCGUAGGCGGGUUGUUAAGUCAGUUGUGAAAGUUUGCGGCUCAACCGUAAAAUUGCAGUUGAUACUGGCAUCCUUGAGUACAGUAGAGGUAGGCGGAAUUCGUGGUGUAGCGGUGAAAUGCUUAGAUAUCACGAAGAACUCCGAUUGCGAAGGCAGCCUGCUGGACUGUAACUGACGCUGAUGCUCGAAAGUGUGGGUAUCAAACAGGAUUAGAUACCCUGGUAGUCCACACAGUAAACGAUGAAUACUCGCUGUUUGCGAUAUACAGUAA
RNAcentral lists this ribosomal RNA (630 nucleotides) under uncultured bacterium. RNAcentral describes it as "bacterial SSU rRNA". It matches the Rfam family "Bacterial small subunit ribosomal RNA", at positions 212 to 842 of the family's 1533-position model. The record is from RNAcentral.